GCCACCCCCUUUUCCCUACACUCCUGUCAAUGUAGGGGUCAUUAAACCCACAGCAGCCAAAGGUGGUCCCACCCUUGAAGGAGCAGCCCACAAAGCAGGUCCCAGACAUCCAGAGAAGCCCAACUAUCAGUCAUCAUUUGCCCCUUCAGCACCAUCUCAGCCUUCAGUGCCUUCUCCCUUCACACCUCAGCCGGUGCCAGCAAUGUCUGUGGCACCUCACCACGUUGCCCCUUCCCAGGCCAGCACAGGUCCACAAACAAGUGUCUAUUCCAGAGGGCACCCAUAUCCACAAUACAACUUGGGCUUGAAUCCAGCAACUGUCUCAGGGCCAGCUAUGUCACCGUCUCAGCAAUUUGGACCAGUGGGAGUCAGACCCAUUGGUCCUGCUCCCUUCUCCAGCCAACCCUCUCUGCCAGGACAGUCCAUGYCCAUGACAUCUCCUGGUGUUCCACCACCCAGGCCUGCCCUCUUCACUCCAGCCUCAGUCCCGUCAUCUCAGCUUCCUCCAGCUUGUCCUCUCCCUGUGGCAAACCAGCCUCCUCUAGACUUCUCUUCAGCACCUUUCAACUGCCCCAUGAACAUGGGUUAUCCUCAGGGAGGUCCUGGAGCUCCAUCUACUAAACCACUGCCAGCAGCCAUUCCUCCUCCUCCCACAGCUCAGGAAUCUUGGAGUGAUCCCUCUACUGGAAGAGGAGGCCUUCAAAAGAAAAAGUUGCCUGAGAAAUUUACUCCUCUGGCCCCCAUCACAGCUCCAGUAAUGGGCCUNNNNNNNNNNNNNNNNNNNNNNNNNNNNNNNNNNNNNNNNNNNNNCCCAAGGGAUCCAUCCUCAGCUAUCCAGGUUGCAAGAAUCUGGCCAGUCACCCCCAGGAGCACCCAAGGAAGGCAGCCUACAGUAUCACCAGCUACCUGGGGAAAGCAUUGA
Molecule: long non-coding RNA, 922 nt
Filed under: Zosterops lateralis melanops
Lineage: Eukaryota; Metazoa; Chordata; Aves; Passeriformes; Zosteropidae
Description: lncRNA (ENSZLMG00000000646.1)
Source: RNAcentral